UAAUAGAACCAGUUUGUGGUGCUGAUCCAUUAUUUUCUUGCUUGUUUUUUUCCCAGGGGUAGGAACAAUUGGCGAGACUCGGAUAAACAUGAAAAAGCCAUAGUUGUCAUGUAGUCCUAGUGCUGCCUCCAAGUUAGGGGCAGCUUGGCUUAGUGAUGCAACAUCAAUAGCUUAUUCCUAGGUGGUUGCUCCUCACCAAGUAUGGGCCAAAAAGGAACUCAUUUGCUGCUGGCAUUUAGGGUUGUGCUUUCCUUCAAAGUCCUAGCUGUUGAAAAAAUUGAAUAUAGAUGGUAAGUGGCCAUGACUAUGGGAAGUGGGGCUAGUACUGCAAUAUUGUCAGAUUUUCUACUAGAUUGAAACCAAAGUUAGAAUAUGAUUCCAUGCUGAAAUAUUAAAUCUGUUGCAUGCUUGCAGUUUUUAUGGACGAGAGAAGUAUAAAGAUCAAGAACCAAGUGCAUCGAAUUUGUUUGAGUGCCUCUACAGAAAAAAGAGAAAUGAUACACCUUAUGUACAGAUUGUCAUAGCAUGUUAGCUUUCAAAUACGGCUCAUUGCAAUUAAUUCUGGAUGAAAUUUUUUUAAGUGAUUUGAUGUUGUAUGUGAUGAAAUGCUCAAUUAAACUAUUUAUGUGAUGAGAUGUUAAUUUCUUAUUGAUA
Panicum virgatum (switchgrass) is the source of this 654-nucleotide long non-coding RNA. RefSeq lists it as uncharacterized. The record is from RefSeq and is a predicted model, not a curated record. The transcript has 2 exons. Lineage: Eukaryota; Viridiplantae; Streptophyta; Magnoliopsida; Poales; Poaceae.